CCCUGCUACAAAGGUGUGUCUGUGUUUUCCCAUUUUUGGACAUGUAAGAAUUGGAGGCAAAGAAAUAUAGACUUGGAGAAUUCUGGGGACAGCUUGCUUCUUGCAGGCUCAAGAUCAACCAUCCCACAAAG
Non-coding RNA from Pteropus alecto (black flying fox), 131 nucleotides. The record is from Rfam. Lineage: Eukaryota; Metazoa; Chordata; Mammalia; Chiroptera; Pteropodidae.